This 1929-nucleotide long non-coding RNA is filed under the name Mytilus galloprovincialis (Mediterranean mussel). The record is from RNAcentral. Lineage: Eukaryota; Metazoa; Mollusca; Bivalvia; Mytilida; Mytilidae.
GAAAUAUGUAGGUCAGAUUAUUUGUUUAAACAUUACAGAUUAGCUUUUGGUUUGUCCAUAAGGAUUGAGACUGGAAAUGGCAAUUGAAUCAGACUUUUAAAGUAAGUUUUGAUCAUUACAUAGAUUUUUUGAAUUUCUAAACUAAAAUAAUGUAAAAUGUGAAUUUGAGUGAGGUAUAAUGUUUUUGACCUGUCCUGACCAUCAACCUGUUUCUUGUCAUUACAACAGAAUUUUAUAAAACAAGGUAGUAUGUACACAAUACUAUGUCGUUGUGCAUGUUAACAAGAAAUUAUGAUUAUUUUUUUUCUAGGAGGUAUGUUAUGCCCCUCUGAACUUAAAUUUAGGCCUAUACUGCUGCAACAGUUUUACUACAAGUCCACUGAAACUGCACAGCAGAAUUUCAUGGAUCUUUGAAGUUAAUGAGGACAGUAAAUUGCAUAUCCACAAGAUAUCAAUUGACUUUUUUCUAUCAAUACAAGCACAAUAGAUUUCUUUAACAAGUAUGUGUUAUAAGUAGACUGUUUUGUGAAAGAUAUCUAUAGUGCUUGGAUUGACUUGUAAAAGGAAUAUUUCAUACAAGUAUAUUGCUUUUAUUAUUUGUUUAUAGGCUGAUGUGAGGACUGAUCUCAUGGUGUUGGAAGUACAGAACUGGUGAUCUGAUACUGCUAACAUAUUGGUAGAUAUACCCAAAUUUUUACCCCCCACGUAACGCAUAACAUCUCGGACAAGUUCUAUAAUGGUGGACAAUCAACUUUUUUAAACAGAGUUAUGCCCUAUGGAAAUAUAAAAUAAGUGCAACAAGUGGGACAUUGGAACUAUAUUCUUUAAUUUUAAUCUAAAAUUGUUUGAUGUCAAUUUUAAUAACGGUUCAGGUCCCUUUCAUGAAGAUUGAAUUACAUGGAGAUAUUCAGCUCCAAAGGAAAGGGGUACAUAAUUGUCCAAGAUAGUCAAGAUACUGUCAAGCUUUGAAACAGAAAUUGUUUUUGACUUUUUUUCUAUUCAUCAAGAUUCAAACUAAAUAUCCACUGAAUUUCUUUAGUAAUUAUGAACCACAAACUUAAAUGUUCAAAGUAUAAUUUUCUAUCAACCAACUUUCUAUCAAAUAUCCACAGAAAUCAAAGUUUUCCUCAAUCACAAUGAAAAUCAUUUAAUCCACUGUAGAUUUUUUGAAGAGUUUAAAUAACAGAUUCAACUUUGUAUUACAGGUUAGCAUCACAGCUUGUCCUUUUGGAUACUGUCUGGAGUAGAAUUUGGAUCUUUUUGAGGUGAGAAAAUAUUUAUUUGUCCACAUACAAGAGGGUGGUAAUGGGGAUACCUUUAUAACCAAUAACGGUAAAAAUUAUAACUAAAUGACGUAAAAUUUGGAGCAUGCAAUAAAAUGUAAAGUUUUAGAUGAUGAACAAAUUUUGAGGAAUCAAGUUAGUUUUUUUCCAAAAAAUAACGAUAACGAUCAUUAUUUGAUGCUAACAGUAGCCAAUAAUGACUGCUUGAAGCCUGAUGGUAAAGGGCAUUACUACCCUCUUACAAAUUUUAUUAAUUGAUAUAAUCUUAUGGACAGUUUAAAUUUCUAUAAAUCUUUAUUAUUUGCAAUUAUAUUUCAUCUUUAUAUUUUCUACUGCAGCCUUUAUAGAUGUAAAUCAGAUGUUUUAAUGUUCAGAAGGUUUAUAGUUCUUUUUAACUUCUUUCUCUUAUACCAUUUUUAAAAGAAAAAUUACCACUCAAAUAUUUGAAGAUUCUUUAAACAUUACCUAAUUCAUAUACUUUAACAUUAUUUGAAAUUACUAUGGAUUGUCAGGAAAUGAAAUAUCAUUUUAUUUCUUUUACAGGUGCCCUUGUGUGGUCAAUCCAAUGGACAAUAACAAUCAUGCAGACAAGAUAUAUAUUGCUUUUUUGUUUAAUAAAAUCUUUAAAUGAUAAUUCUGAAAGCCA